RNAcentral lists this transfer RNA (66 nucleotides) under Pseudotrapelus dhofarensis. RNAcentral describes it as "tRNA-His". Lineage: Eukaryota; Metazoa; Chordata; Lepidosauria; Squamata; Agamidae. The record is from RNAcentral.
CCAGGAUAGUUUAACAAAAACACUAGGCCGUGACCCUAGCAAUAGAACUAACCACUCUUCCUAGCU